UCCUACGGGACGCAGCAGUGGGGAAUAUUGGACAAUGGGCGCAAGCCUGAUCCAGCCAUGCCGCGUGUGUGAAGAAGGCCUUCGGGUUGUAAAGCACUUUUGUUGGGGAAGAAAAGCUCUUGGUUAAUACCCAGGGGUCAUGACGGUACCCAAAGAAUAAGCACCGGCUAACUUCGUGCCAGCAGCCGCGGUAAUACGAAGGGUGCAAGCGUUACUCGGAAUUACUGGGCGUAAAGCGUGCGUAGGUGGUGAGUUAAGUCUGUCGUGAAAGCCCCGGGCUCAACCUGGGAAUGGCGAUGGAUACUGGCUCGCUAGAGUGCGGUAGAGGAGAGUGGAAUUCCCGGUGUAGCAGUGAAAUGCGUAGAGAUCGGGAGGAACAUCAGUUGCGAAGGCGGCUCUCUGGACCAGCACUGACACUGAGGCACGAAAGCGUGGGGAGCAAACAGGAUUAGAUACCCCCGUAGUCCC
RNAcentral lists this ribosomal RNA (468 nucleotides) under uncultured bacterium. RNAcentral describes it as "bacterial SSU rRNA". It matches the Rfam family "Bacterial small subunit ribosomal RNA", at positions 337 to 797 of the family's 1533-position model. The record is from RNAcentral.